ACUCCUACGGGAGGCAGCAGUAGGGAAUCUUCCACAAUGGGCGCAAGCCUGAUGGAGCAACACCGCGUGAGUGAAGAAGGGUUUCGGCUCGUAAAGCUCUGUUGUUAAAGAAGAACACGUAUGAGAGUAACUGUUCAUACGUUGACGGUAUUUAACCAGAAAGUCACGGCUAACUACGUGCCAGCAGCCGCGGUAAUACGUAGGUGGCAAGCGUUAUCCGGAUUUAUUGGGCGUAAAGAGAGUGCAGGCGGUUUUCUAAGUCUGAUGUGAAAGCCUUCGGCUUAACCGGAGAAGUGCAUCGGAAACUGGAUAACUUGAGUGCAGAAGAGGGUAGUGGAACUCCAUGUGUAGCGGUGGAAUGCGUAGAUAUAUGGAAGAACACCGAGUGGCGAAGGCGGCUACCUGGUCUGCAACUGACACUGAGACUCGAAAGCAUGGGUAGCG
Molecule: ribosomal RNA, 444 nt
Filed under: uncultured bacterium
Lineage: Bacteria
Description: bacterial SSU rRNA
Rfam family: Bacterial small subunit ribosomal RNA
Source: RNAcentral